RNAcentral lists this ribosomal RNA (206 nucleotides) under uncultured bacterium. Its description in RNAcentral is "partial 16S ribosomal RNA". It matches the Rfam family "Bacterial small subunit ribosomal RNA", at positions 568 to 774 of the family's 1533-position model. The record is from RNAcentral.
GGAGCAGGCGGCCGCAAGGGUCUGUGGUGAAAGACCGAAGCUAAACUUCGGUAAGCCAUGGAAACCGGGCGGCUAGAGUGCGGAAGAGGAUCGUGGAAUUCCAUGUGUAGCGGUGAAAUGCGUAGAUAUAUGGAGGAACACCAGUGGCGAAGGCGACGGUCUGGGCCGCAACUGACGCUCAUUCCCGAAAGCGUGGGGAGCAAAUA